RNAcentral lists this unclassified non-coding RNA (229 nucleotides) under plant metagenome. Its description in RNAcentral is "partial contains small subunit ribosomal RNA, internal transcribed spacer 1, and 5.8S ribosomal RNA". The record is from RNAcentral.
UCUCCGUAGGUGAACCUGCGGAGGGAUCAUUACAGAGUUCAUGCCCUACCGGGUAGAUCUCCCACCCUAUGUUAUUAUUACUUUGUUGCUUUGGCGGGCCGUUAGGCUCCGGCCCGACUACCGGCCCCGGCUGGUAAGCGCCCGCCAGAGGACCCAAAACCCUGAAUAUUAGUAUCGACUGAGUACUAUAUAAUAGUUAAAACUUUCAACAACGGAUCUCUUGGUUCUG